GGUCUCGUGGCGAAAUUGGUAGCCGCGCCGGGCUCAAACCCCGGUGCCCCCGACGGAGGGGCGUCCCAGUUCGACUCUGGGCGAGACCA
RNAcentral lists this transfer RNA (89 nucleotides) under Nostocoides jenkinsii Ben 74. RNAcentral describes it as "Tetrasphaera jenkinsii Ben 74 tRNA". Lineage: Bacteria; Bacillati; Actinomycetota; Actinomycetes; Micrococcales; Intrasporangiaceae. The record is from Rfam by way of RNAcentral.